Molecule: ribosomal RNA, 507 nt
Filed under: uncultured bacterium
Lineage: Bacteria
Description: bacterial SSU rRNA
Rfam family: Bacterial small subunit ribosomal RNA
Source: RNAcentral
UGGCGUUAUCGGAUUACUGGGCGUAAGCGCACGCAGGCGGCUUUUUAGUCGGAUGUGAAAGCCCCGGGCUCAACCUGGGAAUUGCAUCUGAUACUGGGAAGCUAGAGUAUGUGAGAGGGGGGUAGAAUUCCAAGUGUAGCGGUGAAAUGCGUAGAGAUUUGGAGGAAUACCAGUGGCGAAGGCGGCCCCCUGGCACAAUACUGACGCUCAGGUGCGAAAGCGUGGGGAGCAAACAGGAUUAGAUACCCUGGUAGUCCACGCCGUAAACGAUGUCUACUAGAUGUUCGUGGUCUUGUACCGUGAGUAUCGCAGCUAACGCAUUAAGUAGACCGCCUGGGGAGUACGGUCGCAAGAUUAAAACUCAAAUGAAUUGACGGGGGCCCGCACAAGCGGUGGAGCAUGUGGUUUAAUUCGACGCAACGCGAAAAACCUUACCUACCCUUGACAUGGUCGGAAUCCUGCUGAGAGGUGGGAGUGCUCGAAAGAGAACCGGCGCACAGGUGCUGC